Molecule: ribosomal RNA, 495 nt
Filed under: uncultured bacterium
Lineage: Bacteria
Description: partial 16S ribosomal RNA
Rfam family: Bacterial small subunit ribosomal RNA
Source: RNAcentral
GACGAACGCUGGCGGCGUGCCUAAUACAUGCAAGUAGAACGCUGAAGGAGGAGCUUGCUUCUCUGGAUGAGUUGCGAACGGGUGAGUAACGCGUAGGUAACCUGCCUGGUAGCGGGGGAUAACUAUUGGAAACGAUAGCUAAUACCGCAUAAUAGUAGAUGUUGCAUGUCAUUUGCUUAAAAGGUGCAAUUGCAUCACUACCAGAUGGACCUGCGUUGUAUUAGCUAGUUGGUGGGGUAACGGCUCACCAAGGCGACGAUACAUAGCCGACCUGAGAGGGUGAUCGGCCACACUGGGACUGAGACACGGCCCAGACUCCUACGGGAGGCAGCAGUAGGGAAUCUUCGGCAAUGGACGGAAGUCUGACCGAGCAACGCCGCGUGAGUGAAGAAGGUUUUCGGAUCGUAAAGCUCUGUUGUAAGAGAAGAACGAGUGUGAGAGUGGAAAGUUCACACUGUGACGGUAUCUUACCAGAAAGGGACGGCUAACUACGUG